UACGGAGGGGGCUAGCGUUGUUCGGAAUUACUGGGCGUAAAGCGCGCGUAGGCGGACCUGCAAGUCGGGGGUGAAAGCCCGAGGCUCAACCUCGGAACUGCCUUCGAUACUGCGGGUCUCGAGUCCGGGAGAGGUGAGUGGAACUCCGAGUGUAGAGGUGAAAUUCGUAGAUAUUCGGAAGAACACCAGUGGCGAAGGCGGCUCACUGGUCCGGUACUGACGCUGAGGUGCGAAAGCGUGGGGAGCAAACAGG
RNAcentral lists this ribosomal RNA (253 nucleotides) under uncultured bacterium. Its description in RNAcentral is "partial 16S ribosomal RNA". It matches the Rfam family "Bacterial small subunit ribosomal RNA", at positions 524 to 776 of the family's 1533-position model. The record is from RNAcentral.